AAAGCUCUUACUCACUAUACACCUACGGAAUAAAACUUUGUUUUCUUGCAUUUAAUCAUUUCUUGCUUAAUACUUGCUUCAAAAAACAAAACCCUAAAAGGGAUUGAUUCGCCGCCAGAAUUUCUUCUCUCCUCUCCCCAUUUAACCUUCAUCACCUCUCUCAUUAGCUCACAGUUUUCUUCACCUGUUCUAUGUUGAGAAAAAAGAACUUUCUUGGAGUUUAAUUAGUCAAAUGUUCUAUUUUUAUCAGCAUAAAAGGGUCCAAUUUUCAGCUUGUACAUGUGGGGUUUUGUAGUUCUAAGGUUUAUAUGAUAAAGUUUUGGUUCUUUUGCCUUUCUUGGGUUGCUAGGUUUUGUGGGUACUGAUUAUAUUUUUUGUUGUAGAAUUGAGUAUAUAUUUGGUCUUUGAUCAUGGAGCUUUCUUGGUGCUAUUUUAUUUGAUCAAAGAUUGGAUUUUUGUGAGCUGAAAGCUUUGAUUUACAUGUGGGGUUUUGUAGUUUUAAGGUUUAUGUGAAUCUUUUUUAAAAAAAACCUUUCUUGAGUUGCUAGGUCUUGUGCGUAUUGAUUAUACUUGUUGUGGAAGGAGUAUAAUCAAUUAUUGUUCUUUGAUCAUGGAGCUUUCUUGGAAUUAUAUUUGAUCAACGAUUGGAUUUUUAUGAGCUUAAAGCUUUGAUUUUGAGGUUGUGCGCGUGGGGUUUUGUAGUUUUUAAGGUUUAUAUAUCUAUGCAAAAGUUUUGGUUUUGAAUAACUUUCUUGGGUUGUUAAGGCUUGUGGGUAUUGAUUAUAUUUGUUGUGGAAUGAGUGAGUGAAGAUGGUAUCUGAAUUGAGUAGGAGACCAAUGAUUGGAAACAAUGAAGAUUCAUUUGGAGAUGAGUUCGAGAAAGAGAUUGGGAUGUUACUUCAUGAUCAGCGAAGACAAGAAGCUGACGAUCGCGAAAAGGAGCUGAAUAUGUAUAGAAGUGGCUCAGCUCCACCUACUGUUGAGGGUUCAUUGAGUGCAGUAGGUGAUGAUCGGGAACAAUGAAAAUUCAUUUGGAGAUGAGUUUGAGAAAGAGAUUGGGAUGUUACUUCAUGAUCAGCGAAGACAAGAAGCUGACGAUCGCGAAAAGGAGCUGAAUAUGUAUAGAAGUGGCUCAGCUCCAC
This 1142-nucleotide long non-coding RNA is filed under the name Nicotiana benthamiana. RNAcentral describes it as "long non-coding RNA (NBEN_LNC018875)". The record is from RNAcentral. Lineage: Eukaryota; Viridiplantae; Streptophyta; Magnoliopsida; Solanales; Solanaceae.